GACGAACGCUGGCGGCGUGCUUAACACAUGCAAGUCGAACGCUGAAGCACCAGCUUGCUGGUGUGGAUGAGUGGCGAACGGGUGAGUAAUACGUGAGUAACCUGCCCUUGACUAUGGGAUAAGACCGGGAAACUGGGUCUAAUACUGGAUGCUACAUGUCACCGCAUGGUGGUGUGUGGAAAGGGUUUACUGGUCUUGGAUGGGCUCACGGUUUAUCAGCUUGUUGGUGAGGUAAUGGCUCACCAAGGCGACGACGGGUAGCCCGCCUGAGAGGGUGACCGGCCACACUAAUACUGAGACACGUCCCAGACUCCUACCGGGACCAGCAGUGAGGAAUAUUGCACAAUGGUCGAAAGCCUGAUGCAGCGACUCCACGUGAGGGAAGACGGCCUUCGGGUUGUAAACCUCUUUCAGCAGGGAAGAAGCCACAAAUCACGGUACCUGCAGAAGAAGCGCCGGCUAACUACGU
This 469-nucleotide ribosomal RNA is filed under the name uncultured bacterium. Its description in RNAcentral is "partial 16S ribosomal RNA". It matches the Rfam family "Bacterial small subunit ribosomal RNA", at positions 28 to 506 of the family's 1533-position model. The record is from RNAcentral.